This 468-nucleotide ribosomal RNA is filed under the name uncultured bacterium. RNAcentral's name for it is "partial 16S ribosomal RNA". It matches the Rfam family "Bacterial small subunit ribosomal RNA", at positions 28 to 507 of the family's 1533-position model. The record is from RNAcentral.
GACGAACGCUGGCGGCGUGCUUAACACAUGCAAGUCGAACGGAAAGGCCCUGCUUUUGUGGGGUGCUCGAGUGGCGAACGGGUGAGUAACAAGUGAGUAACCUGCCCUUGACUUUGGGAUAACUUCAGGAAACUGGGGCUAAUACCGGAUAGGAGCUCCUGCUGCAUGGUGGGGGUUGGAAAGUUUCGGCGGUUGGGGAUGGACUCGCGGCUUAUCAGCUUGUUGGUGGGGUAGUGGCUUACCAAGGCUUUGACGGGUAGCCGGCCUGAGAGGGUGACCGGCCACAUUGGGACUGAGAUACGGCCCAGACUCCUACGGGAGGAAGCAGUGGGGAAUAUUGCACAAUGGGCGGAAGCCUGAUGCAGCAACGCCGCGUGCGGAAUAACGGCCUUCGGGUUGUAACCCGCUUUCGCCUGUGACGAGGCGUGAGUGACGGUAAUGGGUAAAGAAGCACCGGCUAACUACGUG